Molecule: unclassified non-coding RNA, 264 nt
Filed under: uncultured fungus
Lineage: Eukaryota; Fungi
Description: partial contains 5.8S ribosomal RNA and internal transcribed spacer 2
Rfam family: 5.8S ribosomal RNA (bases 1-101)
Source: RNAcentral
UGGUUCUGGCAUCGAUGAAGAACGCAGCGAAAUGCGAUAAGUAAUGUGAAUUGCAGAAUUCAGUGAAUCAUCGAAUCUUUGACAUGCCUGUUCGAGCGUCAUUACACCCCUCAAGCCCGGCUUGGUGUUGGGCAGGGCCGGUGGCCCGCCUGAAAAUCAGCACGGUCGUGUGAACCUGGCGCACAAACGCCGCCGACGGGAUCACGGUCCGUUCGUGCAUGAUGCAAACACGUUGACCUCGGAUCAGGUAGGAAUACCCGCUGA